GGCAUUGAGAGUAAACGAAGAAUCUAUGCUCCUGGUAAUAUCCUGUAUUUUAUCUACAUUAUUUGAUUCUGUAGAGAACUUACCUGCAGUGCCUCAUCCUGUACUCAUCUGCAUUUCCUCAUACUGAAAGGCACUAACCUGCAUUACUUCAUCCUGAACUUGCCUGAAUUACAUCUUACCGAAAGACUUUCCUUAUCAGCUUCCAAGAAUCCUGAUUUGUGGCGUAUUUCCUUAAUUGAAGAAUCUUAACUGCAUGAUCUUCUAAGCAACCUACAUUAUAUUAUUUUGGAAUAUACCUACCUGUUUCAACCUCUGC
This is a non-coding RNA of Pelobates cultripes (western spadefoot toad), 316 nucleotides long. NCBI's taxonomy places the organism in Eukaryota, Metazoa, Chordata, Amphibia, Anura, Pelobatidae. The record is from the annotation of a GenBank genome assembly.